This 328-nucleotide long non-coding RNA is filed under the name Prunus persica (peach). Its description in RNAcentral is "long non-coding RNA (PPER_LNC003012)". Lineage: Eukaryota; Viridiplantae; Streptophyta; Magnoliopsida; Rosales; Rosaceae. The record is from RNAcentral.
UGGUAGGACCUGGUGGAUCUCCAGACCACAGUGAUGACCAUGACCAUCACUGAUUUGCAGCCUGAAACUAUUCCAUGGAAUAAAUUCAGGGGAGGUGGAGAGACAAUAUCCAGUAUAUGCUGCGACCUUAACUUUCAAAAUUGGAAGCCUUUUGUUUUUGUUUGGUUGAUUGGCCUUAGUUUCUUUUUCUUUUUUGAUGUUGUUGCUUUUGCAACAUCUGAGAUAGAUUCUCUGUGAUAAUUUAGACACAGGGUGGGUACCUUUUGGAACACUAAGGAUCUUGUAAGGAUGUCCUUCUAUGCAUUGCCAAAUAAUGGAUGGGUACUGC